CAAGAGCGUAUGUAAAAGUUGUUGCAGUUAAAAAGCUCGUAGUUGAACCUUGGGUUUGGUUGGCCGGUCCGCUUUUUUGCGAGUACUGGAUUCAACCGAGCCUUUCCUUCUGGCUAACCAGUCGUUUCGGCGGCUGGCGAACCAGGAUUUUUACUUUGAGAAAAUUAGAGUGUUCAAAGCAGGCAUUAGCUUGAAUAUAUUAGCAUGGAAUAAUAGAAUAGGACGUUAUGGUUCUAUUUUGUUGGUUUAUAGGACCAUCGUAAUGAUUAAUAGGGACGGUCGGGGGCAUCAGUAUUCAGUUGUCAGAGGUGAAAUUCUUGGAUUUACUGAAGACUAACUACUGCGAAAGCAUUUGCCAAGGACGUUUUCAUUAA
Molecule: ribosomal RNA, 374 nt
Filed under: uncultured eukaryote
Lineage: Eukaryota
Description: partial 18S ribosomal RNA
Rfam family: Eukaryotic small subunit ribosomal RNA
Source: RNAcentral